CUUCAGCCGCUUCCCUCGAGCCUGCAGUGCGCAAGCGCGGGACAUCUCCGUUUCCCUCCCUCAGCCCCUUCCCCCCCUACCCCCCCGCCCCGGCCUCCUUUCCCCUUCACGAAGCCGGCUCUGGGGCGCGCUCACCCCUGUGAGGAGGCCGGAGGUCGGACUCAGGAGGCUCCUUCUCCACUCCCGGAAGAUCAUGUACCAGCCCAGCCGGGGUGCGGCCCGGCGUCUCGGCCCUUGCCUGCGCGCCUACCAGGCUCGACCCCAGGAAAGGGGGAGGAGGGACCAGGACCUGAGUUGCAUAGCGGCUGCCUGGAUGGGCUUAGAAGCCUUUUUGAGGGACCUCCCUGCCCCUAUCCUGGGGCUUGGAUACCUUUCCAAGUCCCUGGAACUGCCCACCCUUCCCCUGCCACCCCGUCAGGAGAUCCUAGUAUGGAGGAACAUCUGUCUGUCAUGUAUGAGAGACUGAGACAAGAGCUUCCCAAGCUCUUCCUUCAGUCCCACGACUACAGUCUGUAUUCCUUGGAUGUGGAAUUCAUCAAUGAGAUCCUCAACAUACGUACCAAGGGCCGGACAUGGUACAUUC
RNAcentral lists this small RNA (583 nucleotides) under Homo sapiens (human). Its description in RNAcentral is "chromosome 6 open reading frame 136 (multiple genes)". The record is from RNAcentral. Lineage: Eukaryota; Metazoa; Chordata; Mammalia; Primates; Hominidae.